RNAcentral lists this ribosomal RNA (450 nucleotides) under uncultured bacterium. Its description in RNAcentral is "bacterial SSU rRNA". It matches the Rfam family "Bacterial small subunit ribosomal RNA", at positions 355 to 796 of the family's 1533-position model. The record is from RNAcentral.
UGGGGAAUAUUGGGCAAUGGGCGCAAGCCUGACCCAGCCAUGCCGCGUGAGUGAUGAAGGCCUUCGGGUCGUAAAGCUCUGUGGGGAGGGACGAACGUCCAUGCGGUUAAUACCCGUGUGGGGUGACGGUACCUCCUUAGCAAGCACCGGCUAACUCCGUGCCAGCAGCCGCGGUAAUACGGAGGGUGCAAACGUUGCUCGGAAUCAUUGGGCGUAAAGCGCACGUAGGCGGCCUGUUAAGUCGGGUGUGAAAGCCCUGGGCUCAACCCAGGAAGUGCACACGAAACUGGCAGGCUUGAGUACGGAAGAGGGUCUCGGAAUUCCCGGUGUAGAGGUGAAAUUCGUAGAUAUCGGGAGGAACACCAGUGGCGAAGGCGGAGACCUGGGCCGAUACUGACGCUGAGGUGCGAAAGCGUGGGGAGCAAACAGGAUUAGAUACCCCCGUAGUCC